GAUGAACGCUAGCGGCAGGCUUAACACAUGCAAGUCGAGGGGCAGCGCGGGAUAGCAAUAUCCUGGCGGCGACCGGCGGAAGGGUGCGUAACGCGUGAGCGACAUGCCCGUUGCCCGGGGACAACCGGUGGAAACGCCGACUAAUCCCCGAUGGGAUAUUGUGCCGCAUGGCACGAUAUUGAAAGUUACGGCGGCGACGGAUUGGCUCGCGUCCGAUUAGCUUGUUGGCGGGGUAACGGCCCACCAAGGCUGCGAUCGGUAGGGGUUCUGAGAGGAAGGCCCCCCACCAUGGGACUGAGACACGGCCCAUACUCCUACAGGAGGCAGCAGUGAGGAAUAUUGGUCAAUGGGCGGAAGCCUGAACCAGCCAUGCCGCGUGCGGGAAGGAGGCCCUAUGGGCUGUGAACCGCUUUUGCCUGGGGGCAAUAAGGGCGUCGCGCACGUCCGAUGAGAGUACCAGGCGAAUAAGCAUCGGCUAACUCCGUG
RNAcentral lists this ribosomal RNA (486 nucleotides) under uncultured bacterium. RNAcentral describes it as "partial 16S ribosomal RNA". It matches the Rfam family "Bacterial small subunit ribosomal RNA", at positions 28 to 507 of the family's 1533-position model. The record is from RNAcentral.